UGUAGUACAAGUAUAAACAACUACAUAAAUAAACUCAAUGCAUUGUUCUGUUUCAGUAACAAAUGUAUGGAGUUGAAGAGAGUAUAACUUUAGGACUAUGGUUUGGACAAGUUAUAAAGAAGAGCAGACUCUAAUGCUGGCUAUGGCUUGUAGCAUGAGGCUUGCUAUUGUUACUUGUCCAAACUAUAGUUUUAAAGAAAUCAUCUCUUCAAUAAACUUGGCAGUAGAAAAAGAUUAUGCCAAGCACACGACAAAGUUGGAUUAGGCAUAUGCUCUAUAUUACAAACAUUAAAACCUUAAGUCUUUUUAACUUUUUAAUUCUUUGAUGUCGUUCUAUUGGAAGAGAAAUUGAAAGGGUACUCACCAUCUCUAAUGGUGGUAUAUUUUCAUUAAUGAAUUUCUUGUUAUUACAAUUGCAAUGUUGCAUUUAUACAAGUGAAUUAAACA
Lathyrus oleraceus (garden pea) is the source of this 447-nucleotide long non-coding RNA. RefSeq lists it as uncharacterized. Lineage: Eukaryota; Viridiplantae; Streptophyta; Magnoliopsida; Fabales; Fabaceae. The record is from RefSeq and is a predicted model, not a curated record. The transcript is spliced from 2 exons.